RNAcentral lists this ribosomal RNA (465 nucleotides) under Vreelandella stevensii. RNAcentral describes it as "partial 16S ribosomal RNA". It matches the Rfam family "Bacterial small subunit ribosomal RNA", at positions 338 to 795 of the family's 1533-position model. The record is from RNAcentral. Lineage: Bacteria; Pseudomonadati; Pseudomonadota; Gammaproteobacteria; Oceanospirillales; Halomonadaceae.
CCUACGGGGGGCUGCAGUGGGGAAUAUUGGACAAUGGGGGGAACCCUGAUCCAGCCAUGCCGCGUGUGUGAAGAAGGCCCUCGGGUUGUAAAGCACUUUCAGUGAGGAAGAACGCCUGGUGGUUAAUACCCAUCAGGAAAGACAUCACUCACAGAAGAAGCACCGGCUAACUCCGUGCCAGCAGCCGCGGUAAUACGGAGGGUGCGAGCGUUAAUCGGAAUUACUGGGCGUAAAGCGCGCGUAGGUGGCUUGAUAAGCCGGUUGUGAAAGCCCCGGGCUCAACCUGGGAACGGCAUCCGGGACUGUCAAGCUAGAGUGCAGGAGAGGAAGGUAGAAUUCCCGGUGUAGCGGUGAAAUGCGUAGAGAUCGGGAGGAAUACCAGUGGCGAAGGCGGCCUUCUGGACUGACACUGACACUGAGGUGCGAAAGCGUGGGUGGCAAACAGGAUUAGAUACCCUUGUAGUC